GCAAAAUAUUGGCCUGCAACAAUCUUGAACCUGGAAGAGAUUAUGAUGACAAAGAAGUCUGGAAUAAACAAGAAACCUCCGAACCACCAUAACUGUGUCUGCUACAAUGUGUGUUCUUGCAACCAGCUGAUUGAUUCAUUUUAUCAACUCUCAAAUGGUUGAUUAUCAGAACUGAAUUCAGAGCUGCUCCUGUCUGUAGUAACAUCUUAUUAGAGUGGACUUCAGAAUGAGGGUGUUGCUGGUUUAAAAACUUCACUCCAUGGAGCUCUCCAUAUUCAUCUCAAAUUAGACUGCUUCUGGAAACCAAAUUUGUUCCUUCAAGCAGAGAAGCUUGUGGCUUUCCUGACUGGACUUCUAUGGAUUCUUCUUGCCAACAUUAAGGACUGUGGGCUGACAUUCAGUGGUAAAACACUUGAUGAAGAUGAUAUGAAUUUUUAUUUGAUAUAAAUGAAUCUCAGAAGUAAUUCCUCAGGAGUAAGAAACAAUGAAAAUUAAAAAUAAAAGGUCCAUCAAUAA
This is a long non-coding RNA of Lytechinus pictus (painted urchin), 516 nucleotides long. RefSeq lists it as uncharacterized. The record is from RefSeq and is a predicted model, not a curated record. NCBI's taxonomy places the organism in Eukaryota, Metazoa, Echinodermata, Echinoidea, Temnopleuroida, Toxopneustidae. The transcript is spliced from 3 exons.